UAAGGAAUAUUGCACAAUGGGCGAAAGCCUGAUGCAGCAACGCCGCGUGAGUGAUGAAGGCCUUCGGGUUGUAAAGCUCUGUCUUCUGGGACGAUAAUGACGGUACCAGAGGAGGAAGCCACGGCUAGCUACGUGCCAGCAGCCGCGGUAAUACGUAGGUGGCAAGCGUUGUCCGGAUUUACUGGUCGUAAAGGAUGCGUAGGCGGAUACUUAAGUCAGAUGUGAAAAUCCCGGGCUUAACUUGGGAACUGCAUUUGAAACUGGGUAUCUAGAGUGCGGGAGAGGAAAGUGGAAUUCCUAGUGUAGCGGUGAAAUGCGUAGAGAUUAGGAAGAACACCAGUGGCGAAGGCGACUUUCUGGACCGUAACUGACGCUGAGGCAUGAAAGCGUGGGGAGCAAACA
This 402-nucleotide ribosomal RNA is filed under the name uncultured bacterium. RNAcentral's name for it is "bacterial SSU rRNA". It matches the Rfam family "Bacterial small subunit ribosomal RNA", at positions 355 to 774 of the family's 1533-position model. The record is from RNAcentral.